UACGUAGGUGGCAAGCGUUGUCCGGAUUUACUGGGCGUAAAGAGCGCGCAGGCGGUCAGAUAAGUCGAAUGUGAAAGCCCCCGGCUCAGCUGGGGAGGGUCAUUCGAUACUGUUCGACUCGAAGGCAGGAGAGGGAAGCGGAAUUCCCGGUGUAGUGGUGAAAUGCGUAGAUAUCGGGAGGAACACCAGUGGCGAAGGCGGCUUCCUGGCCUGUUCUUGACGCUGAGGCACGAAAGCCAGGGGAGCAAACGGG
Molecule: ribosomal RNA, 253 nt
Filed under: uncultured bacterium
Lineage: Bacteria
Description: partial 16S ribosomal RNA
Rfam family: Bacterial small subunit ribosomal RNA
Source: RNAcentral